RNAcentral lists this transfer RNA (77 nucleotides) under Candidatus Omnitrophota bacterium. Its description in RNAcentral is "Candidatus Omnitrophica bacterium (hot springs metagenome) tRNA-Arg". It matches the Rfam family "tRNA". From Rfam's summary of the family: Transfer RNA (tRNA) molecules are approximately 80 nucleotides in length. The record is from RNAcentral. Lineage: Bacteria; Pseudomonadati; Candidatus Omnitrophota.
GUCCCUGUAGCUCAGCUGGAUAGAGCAACUGCCUUCUAAGCAGUGGGUCGCCUGUUCGAAUCAGGCCAGGGACGCAA